Molecule: ribosomal RNA, 253 nt
Filed under: uncultured bacterium
Lineage: Bacteria
Description: partial 16S ribosomal RNA
Rfam family: Bacterial small subunit ribosomal RNA
Source: RNAcentral
UACGUAGGGUGCAGGCGUUAAUCGGAAUUACUGGGCGUAAAGCGUGCGCAGGCGGUUUUCUAAGACCGGUGUGAAAUCCCCGGGCUUAACCUGGGAACUGCGCUUGUAACUGGCAAGCUAGAGUGUGGCAGAGGGGGGUGGAAUUCCACGUGUAGCAGUGAAAUGCGUAGAGAUGUGGAGGAACACCGAUGGCGAAGGCAGGUCUCUGGGCUGACACUGACGCUCAUGCACGAAAGCGUGGGGAGCAAACAGG